UGGGGAAUUUUGGACAAUGGGCGAAAGCCUGAUCCAGCAAUGCCGCGUGUGUGAAGAAGGCCUUCGGGUUGUAAAGCACUUUUGUCCGGAAAGAAAUCCUUGGCUCUAAUACAGUCGGGGGGAUGACGGUACCGGAAGAAUAAGCACCGGCUAACUACGUGCCAGCAGCCGCGGUAAUACGUAGGGUGCAAGCGUUAAUCGGAAUUACUGGGCGUAAAGCGUGCGCAGGCGGUUUGCUAAGACCGAUGUGAAAUCCCCGGGCUCAACCUGGGAACUGCAUUGGUGACUGGCAGGCUAGAGUAUGGCAGAGGGGGGUAGAAUUCCACGUGUAGCAGUGAAAUGCGUAGAGAUGUGGAGGAAUACCGAUGGCGAAGGCAGCCCCCUGGGCCAAUACUGACGCUCAUGCACGAAAGCGUGGGGAGCAAACAGGAUUAGAUACCCUGGUAGUCCACGCCCUAAACGAUGUCAACUAGUUGUUGGGGAUUCAUUUCCUUAGUAACGUAGCUAACGCGUGAAGUUGACCGCCUGGGGAGUACGGUCGCAAGAUUAAAACUCAAAUGAAUUGACGGGGU
Molecule: ribosomal RNA, 572 nt
Filed under: uncultured bacterium
Lineage: Bacteria
Description: partial 16S ribosomal RNA
Rfam family: Bacterial small subunit ribosomal RNA
Source: RNAcentral